This 465-nucleotide ribosomal RNA is filed under the name Vreelandella stevensii. Its description in RNAcentral is "partial 16S ribosomal RNA". It matches the Rfam family "Bacterial small subunit ribosomal RNA", at positions 338 to 795 of the family's 1533-position model. Lineage: Bacteria; Pseudomonadati; Pseudomonadota; Gammaproteobacteria; Oceanospirillales; Halomonadaceae. The record is from RNAcentral.
CCUACGGGGGGCAGCAGUGGGGAAUAUUGGACAAUGGGGGCAACCCUGAUCCAGCCAUGCCGCGUGUGUGAAGAAGGCCCUCGGGUUGUAAAGCACUUUCAGUGAGGAAGAACGCCUGGUGGUUAAUACCCAUCAGGAAAGACAUCACUCACAGAAGAAGCACCGGCUAACUCCGUGCCAGCAGCCGCGGUAAUACGGAGGGUGCGAGCGUUAAUCGGAAUUACUGGGCGUAAAGCGCGCGUAGGUGGCUUGAUAAGCCGGUUGUGAAAGCCCCGGGCUCAACCUGGGAACGGCAUCCGGAACUGUCAAGCUAGAGUGCAGGAGAGGAAGGUAGAAUUCCCGGUGUAGCGGUGAAAUGCGUAGAGAUCGGGAGGAAUACCAGUGGCGAAGGCGGCCUUCUGGACUGACACUGACACCGAGGUGCGAAAGCGUGGGUAGCAAAGAGGAUUAGAUACCCUAGUAGUC